This is a long non-coding RNA of Triticum aestivum (bread wheat), 1805 nucleotides long. RefSeq lists it as uncharacterized. NCBI's taxonomy places the organism in Eukaryota, Viridiplantae, Streptophyta, Magnoliopsida, Poales, Poaceae. The record is from RefSeq and is a predicted model, not a curated record. The transcript is spliced from 2 exons.
UGAGAGAGCGGACGAAAACUCUGCCGUAUCGGUACGAUCCACAGCCGCGGCCCCAACAAUCACGCAUGAAAAAAGGAAGUAGAUCCAAUCGAAUCCUCUCACCCUCAACGGAGCGCUGCACCUCCGGCUUGUGGCGUCAGCCUUCUCUCCCUCCUCGCCAGAUUUCGUCUUCGCCAUCAAGAGGUGUUAAGGGAGGCGCCCGCGACGCGACGACGGCGGGGAGAAGCGGCGCAUUGGCGGACAGCCGGACAGCAGCGCAUGUGCAGCACAUAGCAGCGGCGGCUGUAAGGCCACGGCGGACGAGCAGGUGGUGCGGCUGAGGGCGGGAGAAGAGAGGCCGGGCUGCGCCGGAGGCGGAGCUCGGCCGCGAGCGUGGCACGCAGAGGGCAGUGCCGCGCGAGCGCCCUGCAGCCGCAUCACCGAGCGGCAACCUCGCCGCCACACUACUGCACGAGGACAGCGCCACCGCAUCGCCGAGCCACAACCCGGCCGUUCCCGGCCGGAGGUCGCCGACGCCUUUCCCAACUUUUGGGUUGGCACCCUGAUCGGACGCCUCCCUUUUGGUUAACAUGUUUCUAUGAAAUUGAACAUUUCAGUAACAUUCUGUUGUGUGUUCACAACUUCACAUUAAUUCAGAAAUUGUAUGUAUGAGUCGACUGCAUCCGAUGUUGUGCUCCUCCUGUUCCCUUGAAAGGAUUGCUGGAUGGAAAGAUGUUUUUGCUUUCAGGAUUUCUGGUGUGUGUACGACCCUCUAAGUAACUCUUUUUCAUCUCAUGCAGCAGCAGAGGCUUAGAGGAAGGCGCUGCAGCGUGGAUGCACAUGGGAUGCUGCAGGUUAAAGUCCUUUUAGUUUGUUGAUAAUUUGUCAGACGUAGAUUGUAAGUUAUAUAGCAGAAAUAGAUUUUAAUUUGUGUAUGGUGUGGAUUCCAAAAACUAAUCUGCUUGUACUGAAUUAAUGUCUUGUACAUAAAUUUGCAUGAUGAAUCUUUUUGCAAGAUACAUGUGCCAAAGAGGAGGAGAGUAUGAAAGGAUAAAGGAGUCAGGAAGGACCGAAGGAGAAAUCAUAUGAACAUGAACCUGAUGAUGACCCAUAGUUGGAUGUAUGUGAGAGGUACAGGUGUUAGCUCAUAAGCAUAUCAUAAUACAACAUGACGUGUAUAAUUAUUCAGUUGUUCUUUUUAUCCAUGCCUCAGUCAGACCAAAUUAAAUGACAAACUGCAAUUAUACGAAGACCCAUUACAUACACGACCAGCCCACCUGUCAUCGCGAGACAAGUUAAAAGUGAAGCAACUAAAUGUUUGGGUCGAAUGUUGUUACUAUUGGUUUCUUCAAGGGUAGUAACUUUUACCCAACAUAUGUCAUUUUUUAGGUUAAUUGACUAGCCCCUCUUUUUAUAAUGGUCCAGUCAAUUAAGAGAAAAGGGGAAAGGAAAAUGUAUGACGACACAAGGGCUAUAAAUUACAGAGUGAAUUACAUAGCCUGCAACAUUUGCAUCCCUGGCCCUAUUUAUGAUCCUACAAGGGCUAUCUCUAUGAGCUGAACAAUUACAGCAGAGGACACACUCAAAUUCAGAGUUUAGAGCUUGAUGAGCAAUGUUGUGAGAACUUGUUGAUGAUCUGCCUAUUUUCCGUGAAAUUUGGACGUGUUGGAUGGUCCAUGUGAGGUUCUCCAAGAUUUUUUUUCCUCAUUUUUCUGUUCUGGUAGUAUGAUGGAUUUUGAUUAGAUAAGAACCUGCAGUUUCUUUGUAAGUUGGGAUUAAGAGUUCCAUAUAUAUGCGCCAAGAGAGUAUGUAGGGAAAUCAUGAUA